This 465-nucleotide ribosomal RNA is filed under the name uncultured bacterium. Its description in RNAcentral is "partial 16S ribosomal RNA". It matches the Rfam family "Bacterial small subunit ribosomal RNA", at positions 28 to 507 of the family's 1533-position model. The record is from RNAcentral.
GACGAACGCUGGCGGCGUGCUUAACAUAUGCAAGUCGAACGGAAAGGCCCUGCUUGCAGGGUACUCGAGUGGCGAACGGGUGAGUAACACGUGGGUGAUCUGCCCUGCGCUUCGGGAUAAGCCUGGGAAACUGGGUCUAAUACCGGAUAGGAGCCAUUUUUAGUGUGAUGGUUGGAAAGUUUUUUCGGUGUAGGAUGAGCUCGCGGCCUAUCAGCUUGUUGGUGGGGUAAUGGCCUACCAAGGCGGCGACGGGUAGCCGGCCUGAGAGGGUGGACGGCCACAUUGGGACUGAGAUACGGCCCAGACUCCUACGGGAGGCAGCAGUGGGGAAUAUUGCACAAUGGGCGCAAGCCUGAUGCAGCGACGCCGCGUGGGGGAUGACGGCCUUCGGGUUGUAAACUCCUUUCGCUAGGGACGAAGCUUUUUGUGACGGUACCUAGAUAAGAAGCACCGGCUAACUACGUG